AAAAAAUUAGUUUACCAAAACCUUAGUAUGUCAAACUAAAAAGAUUAAUUUAAUUUAAUAUUUUUUA
RNAcentral lists this transfer RNA (67 nucleotides) under Anopheles kompi. Its description in RNAcentral is "tRNA-Asp". Lineage: Eukaryota; Metazoa; Arthropoda; Insecta; Diptera; Culicidae. The record is from RNAcentral.